CCUACGGGAGGCAGCAGUGGGGAAUAUUGGGCAAUGGGCGCAAGCCUGACCCAGCAACGCCGCGUGAAGGAAGAAGGCCCUCGGGUUGUAAACUUCUUUUGUCAGGGACGAAACAAAUGACGGUACCUGACGCAUAAGCCACGGCUAACUACGUGCCAGCAGCCGCGGUAAUACGUAGGUGGCAAGCGUUAUCCGGAUUUACUGGGUGUAAAGGGCGAGUAGGCGGGAGAGCAAGUCAGAUGUGAAAUUCCAGGGCUCAACCCUGGAACUGCAUUUGAAACUGUUUUUCUUGAGUGAGGGAGAGGCAGGCGGAAUUCCGUGUGUAGCGGUGAAAUGCGUAGAUAUACGGAGGAACACCAGUGGCGAAGGCGGCCUGCUGGACAUUAACUGACGCUGAGGCGCGAAAGCGUGGGGAGCAAACAGGAUUAGAUACCCCUGUAGUC
This 443-nucleotide ribosomal RNA is filed under the name uncultured bacterium. RNAcentral's name for it is "partial 16S ribosomal RNA". It matches the Rfam family "Bacterial small subunit ribosomal RNA", at positions 338 to 795 of the family's 1533-position model. The record is from RNAcentral.